CCCGGGUCACUCUGAGGCACACAGUCCAGGGACUCACCAGCCCCGCCUUACAGGUGGAGGCCUGGGGGAGGCUCACUGAGUCCCAGCUGAGGUGCUCCAUCGCCCUGAACCCAGAACUCAGCUCCUCUCUGGCCCUCAUCAUGCAGGGACACCAUCGACCCCACAGGACCUGAUGGUGAAGGUGGUGCAGAAUAUUCCCAGGAUGUUGGUGUACCUUCCUCCUCAGCUCAACAUCCGCUCUCAG
Molecule: long non-coding RNA, 244 nt
Organism: Notothenia coriiceps (black rockcod)
Lineage: Eukaryota; Metazoa; Chordata; Actinopteri; Perciformes; Nototheniidae
Exons: 3
Source: RefSeq, a predicted model, not a curated record